RNAcentral lists this ribosomal RNA (498 nucleotides) under uncultured bacterium. RNAcentral's name for it is "bacterial SSU rRNA". It matches the Rfam family "Bacterial small subunit ribosomal RNA", at positions 899 to 1397 of the family's 1533-position model. The record is from RNAcentral.
ACUCAAAUGAAUAGACGGGGGCCCGCACAAGCGGUGGAGUAUGUGGUUUAAUUCGAAGCAACGCGAAGAACCUUACCAAGGCUUGACAUCCCGCCGACCGGAUUAGAGAUAGUCCCUCCCUUCGGGGCGGCGGAGACAGGUGGUGCAUGGUUGUCGUCAGCUCGUGCCGUGAGGUGUUGGGUUAAGUCCCGCAACGAGCGCAACCCUUGUUUUCAGUAGCCAACGGUUCGGCCGGGCACUCUGGAGAGACUGCCGUGGAUAACACGGAGGAAGGUGGGGACGACGUCAAAUCAUCAUGCCCCUUAUGUCUUGGGCUACACACGUACUACAAUGGGCGCGACAAAGCGAAGCAAAGGCGCAAGCCGGAGCAAAGCGCAAAAAAGCGCUCUCAGUUCGGAUUGUGGGCUGCAACCCGCCCGCAUGAAGUCGGAAUCGCUAGUAAUCGCGGAUCAGCAUGCCGCGGUGAAUACGUUCCCGGGCCUUGUACACACCGCCCGU